GACGAACGCUGGCGGCGUGCUUAACACAUGCAAGUCGAACGAUGAAGCUAGAGCUUGCUCUGGUGAAUUAGUGGCGAACGGGUGAGUAACACGUGAGUAACCUGCCCCGAACUCUGGGAUAACUGCUGGAAACGGUAGCUAAUACUGGAUACGACCUACGAAGGCAUCUUCUGUAGGUGGAAAGAAUUUCGGUUCGGGAUGGACUCGCGGCCUAUCAGCUUGUUGGUGAGGUAAUGGCUCACCAAGGCGACGACGGGUAGCCGGCCUGAGAGGGUGACCGGCCACACUGGGACUGAGACACGGCCCAGACUCCUACGGGAGGCAGCAGUGGGGAAUAUUGCACAAUGGGCGCAAGCCUGAUGCAGCAACGCCGCGUGAGGGAUGACGGCC
Molecule: ribosomal RNA, 390 nt
Filed under: uncultured bacterium
Lineage: Bacteria
Description: bacterial SSU rRNA
Rfam family: Bacterial small subunit ribosomal RNA
Source: RNAcentral